UUUAUGGAGAGUUUGAUCCUGGCUCAGAGUGAACGCUGGCGGCGUGCCUAAUACAUGCAAGUCGAACGGACAAGUAAGAGCUUGCUCUUAUGAGUUAGUGGCGCACGGGUGAGUAAUGUAUAGUUAAUCUGCCCUACACUGGAGGACAACAGUUAGAAAUGACUGCUAAUACUCCAUACUCCUUCUUAACACAAGUUAAGUCGGGAAAGUUUUUUCGGUGUAGGAUGAGACUAUAUUGUAUCAGCUAGUUGGUGAGGUAAUGGCUCACCAAGGCUAUGACGCAUAACUGGUCUGAGAGGAUGAUCAGUCACACUGGAACUGAGACACGGUCCAGACUCCUACGGGAGGCAGCAGUAGGGAAUAUUGCUCAAUGGGGGAAACCCUGAAGCAGCAACGCCGCGUGGAGGAUGACACUUUUCGGAGCGUAAACUCCUUUUGUUAGGGAAGAACAAUGACGGUACCUAACGAAUAAGCACCGGCUAACUCCGUGCCAGCAGCCGCGGUAAUACGGAGGGUGCAAGCGUUACUCGGAAUCACUGGGCGUAAAGGACGCGUAGGCGGAUUAUCAAGUCUUUUGUGAAAUCUAAUGGCUCAACCAUUAAACUGCUUGAGAAACUGAUAAUCUAGAGUGAGGGAGAGGCAGAUGGAAUUGGUGGUGUAGGGGUAAAAUCCGUAGAGAUCACCAGGAAUACCCAUUGCGAAGGCGAUCUGCUGGAACUUAACUGACGCUAAUGCGUGAAAGCGUGGGGAGCAAACAGGAUUAGAUACCCUGGUAGUCCACGCCCUAAACGAUGUAUACUAGUUGUUGCUGUGCUAGUCAUGGCAGUAAUGCACCUAACGGAUUAAGUAUACCGCCUGGGGAGUACGGUCGCAAGAUUAAAACUCAAAGGAAUAGACGGGGACCCGCACAAGCGGUGGAGCAUGUGGUUUAAUUCGAAGAUACGCGAAGAACCUUACCUGGGCUUGAUAUCCUAAGAACCUUGUAGAGAUACGAGGGUGCUAGCUUGCUAGAACUUAGUGACAGGUGCUGCACGGCUGUCGUCAGCUCGUGUCGUGAGAUGUUCGGUUAAGUCCGGCAACGAGCGCAACCCACGUAUUUAGUUGCUAACAGUUCGGCUGAGCACUCUAAAUAUACUGCCUUCGUAAGGAGGAGGAAGGUGUGGACGACGUCAAGUCAUCAUGGCCCUUAUGCCCAGGGCGACACACGUGCUACAAUGGCAUAUACAAUGAGACGCAAUAUCGCGAGAUGGAGCAAAUCUAUAAAAUAUGUCCCAGUUCGGAUUGUUCUCUGCAACUCGAGAGCAUGAAGCCGGAAUCGCUAGUAAUCGUAGAUCAGCCAUGCUACGGUGAAUACGUUCCCGGGUCUUGUACUCACCGCCCGUCACACCAUGGGAGUUGAUUUCACUCGAAGCCGGAAUACUAAACUAGUUACCGUCCACAGUGGAAUCAGCGACUGGGGUGAAGUCGUAACAAGGUAACCGUAGGAGAACCUGCGGUUGGAUCACCUCCUUUCUA
Molecule: ribosomal RNA, 1515 nt
Filed under: Campylobacter sp.
Lineage: Bacteria; Pseudomonadati; Campylobacterota; Epsilonproteobacteria; Campylobacterales; Campylobacteraceae
Description: bacterial SSU rRNA
Rfam family: Bacterial small subunit ribosomal RNA
Source: RNAcentral